RNAcentral lists this transfer RNA (72 nucleotides) under Lachnospira multipara. It matches the Rfam family "tRNA". From Rfam's summary of the family: Transfer RNA (tRNA) molecules are approximately 80 nucleotides in length. The record is from Rfam by way of RNAcentral. RNAcentral also lists the same sequence under 2 other names. Lineage: Bacteria; Bacillati; Bacillota; Clostridia; Lachnospirales; Lachnospiraceae.
GGCGCCAUGGUCAAGCGGUUAAGACACCACCCUUUCACGGUGGUAUCAGGGGUUCAAAUCCCCUUGGCGUCA